GGGGGUGCUUCCAUCUGGAAGAAUCUGGAGACAGGUGCUGCAUGGCUGUCGUCAGCUCGUGUCGUGAGAUGUUGGGUUAAGUCCCGCAACGAGCGCAACCCUUGCCUUUAGUUGCCAGCAGUUCGGCUGGGCACUCUAAAGGGACUGCCGGUGUUAAACCGGAGGAAGGUGGGGAUGACGUCAAGUCCUCAUGGCCUUUAUGACCAGGGCUACACACGUACUACAAUGGCCGAUACAAAGGGCAGCGACACUGCGAGGUGAAGCCAAUCCCGUAAAAUCGGUCUCAGUCCGGAUUGGAGUCUGCAACUCGACUCCAUGAAGUUGGAAUCGCUAGUAAUCGUGGAUCAGCAUGCCACGGUGAAUACGUUCCCGGGCCUU
RNAcentral lists this ribosomal RNA (378 nucleotides) under uncultured Desulfobulbus sp. RNAcentral's name for it is "bacterial SSU rRNA". It matches the Rfam family "Bacterial small subunit ribosomal RNA", at positions 1007 to 1382 of the family's 1533-position model. The record is from RNAcentral. Lineage: Bacteria; Pseudomonadati; Thermodesulfobacteriota; Desulfobulbia; Desulfobulbales; Desulfobulbaceae.